GACGAACGCUGGCGGCGUGCUUAACACAUGCAAGUCGAACGGAAAGGCCCUGCUUUUGUGGGGUGCUCGAGGGGCGAACGGGGGGGUAACACGUGAGUAACCUGCCCUUUACUUUGGGAUAACUUCAGGAAACUGGGGCUAAUACCGGAUAGGAGCUCCUGAUGCAUGGUGGGGAUUGGAAAGUUUCGGCGUUUGGGGAUGGACUCGCGGCUUAUCAGCUUGUUGGUGGGGUAGUGGCUUACCAAGGCUUUGACGGGUAGCCGGCCUGAGAGGGUGACCGGCCACCUUGGGACUGAGAUACGGCCCAGACUCCUACUGGAGCCAGCAGUGGGGAAUACUGCCCAAGCGGCGGAAGCCGGAUGAAGAAACGCCGCGUGCGGGAUAACGGUCUUCGGGUUGUAAACCGCUUUCGCAUGUGACGAAGCGUGAGUGACGGUAAUCGGUACAGAAGCCCCCGCUAACUACCGU
Molecule: ribosomal RNA, 468 nt
Filed under: uncultured bacterium
Lineage: Bacteria
Description: partial 16S ribosomal RNA
Rfam family: Bacterial small subunit ribosomal RNA
Source: RNAcentral